UAUGAAUAAUACGUGGCACACGGCUCAGUAACACGUAGUCAACAUGCCCAGAGGACGUGGAUAACCUCGGGAAACUGAGGAUAAACCGCGAUAGGCCAUAAUUACUGGAAUGGGUUAUGGCUUAAACCUAUAUGGCCUCUGGAUUGGACUGCGGCCGAUCAGGCAGUUGGUGAGGUAAUGGCCCACCAAACCUGUUACCGGUACGGGCUCUGAGAGGAGGAGCCCGGAGAUGGGCACUGAGACAAGGGCCCAGGCCCUAUGGGGCGCAGCAGGCGCGAAACCUCUGCAAUAGGCGAAAGCCUGACAGGGUUACUCUGAGUGAUUCCCGCUAAGGGGAUCUUUUGGCACCUCUAAAAAUGGUGCAGAAUAAGGGGUGGGCAAGUCUGGUGUCAGCCGCCGCGGUAAUACCAGCACCCCGAGUGGUCGGGACGAUUAUUGGGCCUAAAGCAUCCGUAGCCGGUCAUGCAAGUCCUCCGUUAAAUCCACCUGCUCAACAGAUGGGCUGCGGAGGAUACUACAAGGCUAGGAGGCGGAAGAGGCAAGCGGUACUCAGUGGGUAGGGGUAAAAUCCUCUGAUCCAUUGAAGACCACCAGUGGCGAAGGCGGCUUGCCAAUACGCGCUCGACGGUGAGGGAUGAAAGCUGGGGGAGCAAACCGGAUUAGAUACCCGGGUAGUCCCAGCUGUAA
This 687-nucleotide ribosomal RNA is filed under the name uncultured Nitrososphaerota archaeon. Its description in RNAcentral is "bacterial SSU rRNA". It matches the Rfam family "Archaeal small subunit ribosomal RNA", at positions 65 to 756 of the family's 1478-position model. Lineage: Archaea; Thermoproteati; Nitrososphaerota. The record is from RNAcentral.